GGACGGCUGGUGCCUGGCCUUCAUUGCUUCAGAGGCUUCCUUCCUCCUUAUACUGCGCUGGCUUUUCAAACCCAUCCGGCUGCUCAGGCUCUGCUGGAUGUAGGACAGAAAGGUCCAAGGAGCUGAAGCUGGUUGAGGCCUGUGGGCUGGGAGAUUUGCUGCUUUGGCCACGGGGAGGCGCUAUGUUCUAGUAAAACCUGUGCAUCUGGGGUGGAGGAGGGGAAGGAGUGAAUGGAGGAAUGGGGCUAGCGAUGGAGGAGUAAAGCUAAUGCGUCAGGCUCCAUCCUUAUAUCACCGAAGUCAGUUUCAGUUUCAGAUGGAUUUCCUCUUGUCUUGCUGUGCAUGUGCAUGGUAUUGUCUCUGCAGGCUGUGCAUAGAUUUGGAGUAAGCCCAGGCAAGUCCUUCAGCCACAGUGGCUGAUCCCUUUCAGCUCCCUUGGCACUCUUGCCAGUGCCCACUCUGCACAUUAGAUAGCGGACAAUGGGCCAGUUUGGAACUGUGGUCAUCUGAUCACCCUCUGCCACAAAGAUGGGGAAAGAGGACUCCGACUAGUUCAGGCACAGAGAGAAGCAACACUGAGAGAAGAGGAAGAUCCCUUGAGGUGGAAAUGACCUGUCCCUGAGGGGGGGCGGUCUGGGAAGGGAGGCAGGUAGAAGGAGGAGCUAUUAUCCAUAAGGAGAAGGACAGCUAAGAGCAAAAGAGCAACUGGCUGAACGAUAUACCCUUGAGCCAUAAAAAGCAGCCUCUGCUCUUUCUGCCUAUAGCAGCUCAUCCCAGCCAACUAAAUUCAAAUCCACUCAGAGGUUAUAGAAGGCAUAGAAGGGGUAGGAAGAAACAGCUCCUGAAACUGGGGAAGCUGUUAGGAACAGUGACAUCACAAGUGAAACUACCAACCAGGAGGGCCAAAGAAGCUGGAGACUGGCCCCCUCCUCCAGAACUUCCCAGCUGGGCAGGGUCCAUCUCAGACCUGACUCUACCAUGGGCUGUGGGCUGCUCUGCUGUGUGGUCCUCUGUCUCGUGGGAGCAGUUUCCCUGGACACUGGAGUUACCCAGAGCCCAAAACACCUGGUCAUGGGAAGGACAAAUAAAAAGACAUUGAAAUGUGAGCAACGUCUGGGACAUAAUUUUAUGUAUUGGUAUAAGCAGAAGCCCGAGAAGCCACCAGAGCUCAUGUUUAUCUACAACCUCAAAAAUCUCUUUCAAAAUGAGACUGUUCCAAGUCGCUUCUCACCUGAAUGCCCUGACAGCUCUCACCUCUACCUGCACCUGGAUGCCCUGGAGCUAGGAGACUCAGCUGUAUAUCUCUGCGCCAGCAGCCAAGACACAGCCCUGCAGUGUCACCACCUCCCUGUGCACAAACCUCUGAGUCCAGCCAGGAAGCUGUGGGGCAACCACAGGCAGUUGAACAUUUCCUUAGGACCACAGACAGAAGCUGUAGACCUAAAUAUCACCUGCUGA
Non-coding RNA from Tupaia belangeri chinensis (Chinese tree shrew), 1458 nucleotides. NCBI's taxonomy places the organism in Eukaryota, Metazoa, Chordata, Mammalia, Scandentia, Tupaiidae. The record is from the annotation of a RefSeq genome assembly.